Molecule: ribosomal RNA, 403 nt
Filed under: Acanthamoeba genotype T5
Lineage: Eukaryota; Discosea; Longamoebia; Acanthamoebidae
Description: SSU rRNA
Rfam family: Eukaryotic small subunit ribosomal RNA
Source: RNAcentral
GUUUACCGUGAAAAAAUUAGAGUGUUCAAAGCGGGCAGAUAUUUUUCCUGCCACCGAAUACAUUAGCAUGGGAUAAUGGAAUAGGACCCUGACCUCCUAUUUUCAGUUGGUUUUGUUUACAGCGAGGUUAUAUCAGGGUAAUGAUUAAUAGGGAUAGUUGGGGGCAUUAAUAUUUAAUUGUCAGAGGUGAAAUUCUUGGAUUUAUGAAAGAUUAACUUCUGCGAAAGCGUUUGCCAAGGAUGUUUUCAUUAAUCAAGAACGAAAGUUAGGGGAUCGAAGACGAUCAGAUACCGUCGUAGUCUUAACCAUAAACGAUGCCGACCAGCGAUUAGGAGACGUUGAAUACAAAACACCGCCGUUAAUCCUUUCGGGGGUUAAUGGUUGGUGAAUGACUCCCUAGCAC